ACAUACGCCAACUAAAAUGGUCGUAACUUGCUGAAUUAUUGACGGAUUUACAAACGGUUUGGUUUAUUACAAACCCUAUUAACGUGGCUAUGAUUUGUGCUGAUGCCGAUGUUUAAAUCUAUAAUUUUCACAAGUAUGCAGUUAAAUAGCCGCAUCCCUGACGUUUAUGACACACCAAGCCGUUUGAAAAUCGGUUGAAAAUUGAGCAACAUAUAGUUAUUUCAGCACUACAUGCACAAUAGACUUUAAUGUUAUUGCUGGACGAGCGGUCCUGUCCUAAGAUGGCCGCUGUGUGACGUCGUCGGGUCCCAUUGGCUCUCAGCGCCGGUAAGCCAUCUAGCCUUUCUAUACAUGUCUAUGCUCACAAGAACAGACGAGCAUGCUCCGAUGCAUGCCCGGUAAAAUGGGCGGGGCGAGUCACAUCCGGGUAUUAUAACCGUUCUUGGCCAGAUGCGGACUUUAGAAUUGGAACAGUACUCGGGCUGUGACUGAUGACGUUUCACGAGUCCACGAGAACAAAAGUCCACACAAGAACGCAUAUUGAGAAAGGGCCAGUGAGUGGGAGACCGUGCUGAAAAAGAUUCAAAGUGACCAAUCGGAUGACAGUGAAUAUGCUGAUGGAGAAAAAGCAACAGAGAGGAGGAGGGAUGAAUACAAGGUAAUCGUUAAAUUGACGCAAGAAGGGGCUUCUUUUGGUGAAUGGAAUCCAAUCCGGCUCACUAGAUCUAUACAUAAGGAAAUUGGAGAGAUAAAGCGUGCUAAAGGGCUGAGAAAAGGAUCAUUGCUGAUAAUGUGCAGGGAUGGAAGACAACAAGGGAGAGCGAUUAGGAUGAAUACAAUAAAUAGCAAGAAAGUGCAAUGUUCCACGGCUGGUGACAAAAAACUAGUCAGGGGAGUCAUCUCAGGAAUCGCAGUCAAUUUACCGAGGACGAUGUUAAAACACACGUAACUAAUGCGAAAGUAGUUGAGGUUAAACGGAUUAAAUCGAACAGAAAUGGGAUUAAAAGUGACAGCCUUUCAGUCUUGAUCACUUUUGGGGAGGGGAAACUACCGGAAAAAAUCUGUAUUAAAUACUUGUGUUAUGAGGUCAGGCCGUAAAUCCCCCCUCCACUCAGAUGUUAUAAGUGUCAGAAAUUUUGACAUGUGGCGGCUGUGUGUAAAGGAAACCAAAGGUGUGGAAGAUGCGCAGGAGACCAGGAGUACGGCAAAUGCACCAAAUGAGCAAAGCUGAAAUGCUGCAAUUGCGGCGGACGGUGGAUGUGAGGUGAGCAAAAGAGCAGCACAGGUACAGCGAGUAUAAGUUUGUCAGGGAAUCAGUUAUGCAGUGGCAGCAAAGAAGGUUUCAGGGGACACACGGGUAACAAGGGAAAUUAAAACCGUGAGCGAAGAUCGGGAGAAAUGUGAAGGAUGCGACAAACUGAAGGAGGAAACGCUGCUAGUUAAAAAUAAUGACUUUGUGCUCUUUGUGGCGCAAGUAAUUAACUGUUCGGCACAGACAAAAAGCCGCAAUAAAAGGAUGAAAAUAAUUGUCAGAUCUACUGAAAAGUACUUAGAAGUGGAAGGACUAAAGUGGGAAACUGUUAGAGACACAGAUGAAGAAACACAACCACCUCAAACAUGGGCUGGAUCUUCCUAAUGGUGCUUAUAUUACAAUGGAAUGUGAGAAGCUUAACAGCAAAUGGACAGGAGUUUAAGAAAUACAUAGAUAAUAUAAUUGAGAAACCUAUUGUAAUCUGUAUUAAAGAGACAUGGUUAAAACCACAAUGGGAUUUUGGGAUAAAAGGGUACUCUGUUGUUAGAAGAGAUAGGGAAUCUGGCAAAGGUGGAGGAGUGGCAACAUUCAUACAGAAUGAGGUGAGUUAUAAGAUAAUGCAGAAAAUACAGGUAAGAGUAGAUACAGAAUAUUCAAAUAUAUAUACUGUGGAUAAUGGAACUCUGCAAGGUAGUGUAUGUAGUCCGUUAUUAUUUAAUAUAAUGAUAAAUGACAAAAAAAUGAUGAUAAAGAAUUAAAUUGCCAUUAUGAAAUAAAAGUGCCAUUAUGAAAUAAAAAAAUGUUUAAAACGGUCAGAUAUCUGGGGAUUUGGUUUGAUGAAAAGCUCACAUGGAACAUACAUUUAGACAAGGUCAAGAAUAAAUGUAAAAAAGUCGUCAAUAUACUCCGGUGUUUGAGAGGAAGAGAGUGGGAAGCAAGUAGAGCAUCGCUGCAAAAUAUAUACUGGGCACUCAUGAGAUCUGUCCUUGACUAUGGGUGUGUAGCUUACACGUCAGCAGCAGAAACAAACCUUAAGAAAUUGGAUGUACUGCAAGCUCAAGCAUUGAGAAUCAUCAGUGGAUCAUUCACAACAUCUCCGGUAUCAGCAAUGCAAGUGGAAGUGGGAGAGAUGCCCCUGAGGAUUAGAAGAGUUAAAUUAAUGCUGGCACACUGGGUUAAUCUCCAGGGACCAGAGAUGCUCACGAGUCCCAAAGCUCGAGUCCGAGUCGAGUCUGAAGUCACGCGUGUGUGCGACUCGAGUCGCACUCGAGUCCGAGUCUCAAACUCGAGUCCCCAUCUCUUAUCAACGUCCCUUUUACCGUAAAAAAAAAAAACAUACCAACA
Pungitius pungitius (ninespine stickleback) is the source of this 2596-nucleotide long non-coding RNA. RefSeq lists it as uncharacterized. The record is from RefSeq and is a predicted model, not a curated record. NCBI's taxonomy places the organism in Eukaryota, Metazoa, Chordata, Actinopteri, Perciformes, Gasterosteidae. The transcript is spliced from 2 exons.